Non-coding RNA from Ictidomys tridecemlineatus (thirteen-lined ground squirrel), 802 nucleotides. Lineage: Eukaryota; Metazoa; Chordata; Mammalia; Rodentia; Sciuridae. The record is from RefSeq and is a predicted model, not a curated record.
CCCUGGAGCUGCACCUGCUCCCUUCACCACCACAGGAAGAGUCUGGCCUUCCUCAGCUGUCUUGAGGCAUUUAUUCAGGCCAUGAGUGCAUCAGGGAUGCAAGUGAAAGAAGAUGCUAAAGAAAGAGAGGAAGAAAUAUGUGUGUGGCCCAGGAUGCUGGCCAACCGAAAUAGGAGAUGCUGUGACACAGUUGGGAACAAGAGCACAAAAAGUCAAGCAGAGACAUUCCAAGCACCUGCAAGGCAAUACCUGAUACCUGCCUCCCAAGCUAAUCUCUACUCAUCCCUACUACAAACGAGUAACUAGACACUCCACCUGGAUGGUGAAGAUAGGCACCUGGCAGGAAAGGUGCAGAGUGGAGUGAAGGUUGCUGCUACAUCGGGAUUACAGACUGCCUUAAAGGAGCAAAUUAAUUCAACACUCUGCCUCUAUGACAGCGUUGAACUCAAGUUUGUGUUUGAGUCAAGACAAUAUUGAUCAUUCUCAAGCUCAUAUGUGAAAGAAGAUGGAAAAAAAAGCAUUAAAACAGUAUUCAGGAGGAUCAAGUCAAUUGGAAUGAAAUCUUAGAAAACGUGAACCUUAAAUAUCUCAAAUUCAUAACACUCUCUUCGUUUUGUGAAAGUCAUAUACAGGGAAAACUAAAAAGAGCAAAGAUCUAUAAUUCAACUGUCAAAAGUAGUCAUCAAUUCCUUAUUCCAAAAUUCACACCAAUAGGUCUGUCAACACUAAUUUGUUGAGCAUUCACUGUGCGCCAAGCAUUGUUAAAGACCUCUAGGGAAGAGUUUCAUCCUCACUGGAACCA